RNAcentral lists this transfer RNA (69 nucleotides) under Ictidomys tridecemlineatus (thirteen-lined ground squirrel). RNAcentral's name for it is "Spermophilus tridecemlineatus (thirteen-lined ground squirrel) tRNA". It matches the Rfam family "tRNA". Rfam says of the family: Transfer RNA (tRNA) molecules are approximately 80 nucleotides in length. Their secondary structure includes four short double-helical elements and three loops (D, anti-codon, and T loops). The record is from Rfam by way of RNAcentral. Lineage: Eukaryota; Metazoa; Chordata; Mammalia; Rodentia; Sciuridae.
GGAGUUGUGGCUCAGUGGCAGAGUGCUUGCCUAGCAUGCGUGAGGCACUGGGUUCGAGUCUCAGCACCA